Molecule: ribosomal RNA, 467 nt
Filed under: uncultured bacterium
Lineage: Bacteria
Description: partial 16S ribosomal RNA
Rfam family: Bacterial small subunit ribosomal RNA
Source: RNAcentral
GAUGAACGCUGACAGAAUGCUUAACACAUGCAAGUCAACUUGAAUUUGGGUUUUUAACUUAGGUUUGGGUGGCGGACGGGUGAGUAACGCGUAAAGAACUUGCCUCACAGCUAGGAACAACAUUUGGAAACGAAUGCUAAUACCUAAUAUUAUGAUAAUAGGGCAUCCUAUAAUUAUGAAAGCUAUAAGCGCUGUGAGAGAGCUUUGCGUCCCAUUAGCUAGUUGGAGAGGUAACGGCUCACCAAGGCGAUGAUGGGUAGCCGGCCUGAGAGGGUGAUCGGCCACAAGGGGAAUGAGACACGGCCCUUACUCCUACGGGAGGCAGCAGUGGGGAAUAUUGGACAAUGGACCGAGAGUCUGAUCCAGCAAUUCUGUGUGCACGAUGAAGUUUUUCGGAAUGUAAAGUGCUUUCAGUUGGGAAGAAACAAAUGACGGUACCAACAGAAGAAGUGACGGCUAAAUACGUG